GGUAUCAUGCAAGAUUCCCAUUCUUGCGACCCGGGUUCGAUUCCCGGCUGGUGCA
RNAcentral lists this transfer RNA (55 nucleotides) under Buceros rhinoceros silvestris. It matches the Rfam family "tRNA", at positions 17 to 71 of the family's 71-position model. Rfam says of the family: Transfer RNA (tRNA) molecules are approximately 80 nucleotides in length. Their secondary structure includes four short double-helical elements and three loops (D, anti-codon, and T loops). The record is from Rfam by way of RNAcentral. Lineage: Eukaryota; Metazoa; Chordata; Aves; Bucerotiformes; Bucerotidae.